Molecule: ribosomal RNA, 435 nt
Filed under: uncultured bacterium
Lineage: Bacteria
Description: partial 16S ribosomal RNA
Rfam family: Bacterial small subunit ribosomal RNA
Source: RNAcentral
AGCGAACGCUGGCGGCAGGCUUAACACAUGCAAGUCGAGCGGGCAUAGCAAUAUGUCAGCGGCAGACGGGUGAGUAACGCGUGGGAACGUACCUUUUGGUUCGGAACAACACAGGGAAACUUGUGCUAAUACCGGAUAAGCCCUUACGGGGAAAGAUUUAUCGCCGAAAGAUCAGCCCGCGUCUGAUUAGCUAGUUGGUGAGGUAAUGGCUCACCAAGGCGACGAUCAGUAGCUGGUCUGAGAGGAUGAUCAGCCACAUUGGGACUGAGACACGGCCCAAACUCCUACGGGAGGCAGCAGUGGGGAAUAUUGGACAAUGGGCGCAAGCCUGAUCCAGCCAUGCCGCGUGAGUGAUGAAGGCCCUAGGGUUGUAAAGCUCUUUUGUGCGGGAAGAUAAUGACGGUACCGCAAGAAUAAGCCCCGGCUAACUUCGUG